This 278-nucleotide ribosomal RNA is filed under the name uncultured bacterium. Its description in RNAcentral is "partial 16S ribosomal RNA". It matches the Rfam family "Bacterial small subunit ribosomal RNA", at positions 337 to 630 of the family's 1533-position model. The record is from RNAcentral.
UCCUACGGGGCGCAGCAGUGGGGAAUAUUGCGCAAUGGGCGAAAGCCUGACGCAGCGACGCCGCGUGAGGGAUGAAGGUCUUCUGAUCGUAAACCUCUGUCAGCAGGGAAGAGUAGAAGACGGUACCUCUUGAAUAAGCCACGGCUAACUACGUGCCAGCAGCCGCGGUAAUACGUAGGUGGCAAGCGUUGUCCGGAUUUACUGGGUGUAAAGGGCGUGCAGCCGGGCUGACAAGUCAGAUGUGAAAUCCCGCGACUCAACCGCGGAACUGCAUUUGA